Molecule: long non-coding RNA, 7897 nt
Organism: Lycium barbarum (goji berry)
Lineage: Eukaryota; Viridiplantae; Streptophyta; Magnoliopsida; Solanales; Solanaceae
Exons: 5
Source: RefSeq, a predicted model, not a curated record
CAAAAAGUGAACCGAUCCCUACACUCCUCUUCAACCAAACAACCUCUUCUCCCCGUCACCAUCCACCCUAGCCCCGUCACGUCGCCUCACCGCCACCACACCCGUCGGACCACCGUAUAAAGAACAGACACCAUCUCCCAUCAACCCCAGUCCUUUUUCUUCAAGUGACAGAGCUUUGAACAGCUCGUCCAAGUCGAAUCAACCACCAAAUCGAAAAACACGCAAGUAUCUUUGGGUUUCUAGGCAGAUCUUCCAACAAUCCAUAGGGUAAAGGCUCGUUCCAAUCCGUUGGGGCCUAAAACCAUGGAAAAAACCAUUAGAUUCGGACCUCUAGCUUUCACUUCACCUCUGAAAAAAGUUCUCGGCUGAGCAAAGACCACUUCAAGCGGAUUCCGAGACUCGACGACGAUAAUAGCCUCAGUUCGCUGUCUCGGAGAAGAUUACGUGGCUACGAAUGAUCUUAAGUGAAUUGCAAGACAGGAAGUAAGUUGGAAGUCGAGAAAUUAUCUUCCAGGUGUAUACAGAUGAGUAGAGGAUAUUGCUAGAAGAUGUUCCAGCUAGAUUGGCGAGCUCCAUUUCCUUCCGGAGUGUUAUCGAGUCAGAGUAUCUAUGUUAUGGUAUAUUGAUUUAUGUUAGAGACUUUGCAGACAAAGUCACAUAUAUAGCAUGUCAGUCUUGCAAGCGGCUCUGCAAGCCGAUGUAUCAUUAUGCAUUAUGUUACAAAUUUCAUAUGAUUACAGAUUUUUACUUGAUUUGAGAAAGACGAAAAUAAUUUUUUUGAAAAGCUUUCAUUAGGCAUUUCAUUUCGUGAUUUAAGAGUCCAGUGAGAUUAUGAAAAUAACGAGAACCAGCGGGUUCGCUCGACUCUAAGUAAAGGGUCGGGUGCCCAUCAUGCCCUAUCAGGACUGGGAUGUGACAAAUUGGUAUCAGAGCAGUUCGUCCUAGGGGUUGUCUGCAAAGUCGUGUCCAGUAGAGUCCUGUUUAUGGUGUGAAGCGCGCCACAUUUAUAAACAGGAGGCUACGGGGCAUCUAGGGUGGUUACUCUUCUUUCUCAUCUUAGAUCGUGCCAUAGAGCUAAAUCAUAGGAUAUGAUGUCCCUGAUUCUAAGCCCAAAUGUUUUGAUCAUGAACAAGCAGUUGAUUAUGCCACUACGAGGUAAUUGCUGAGAAUUGAAGUUGUUCAUUUGAAAGGUAUGUUUCCUAUUUUAUUAAUAUGGAUAGACGUUGAUAUAAGAACUUGAGCAAGAUAUUAUGGGUAUUUGUGAUUGCUCUGUGGGGCAUUGGAUGUGUUUUUCUGGGUUGUGUGCAGGAAUGAGGUAGUAUGAAUUAUAGAGGAAACUCUGUCGAAAUUUUUGCAAAUUGAAUUGUUUGCAUGACUAUAGAGAAAGAGUAAAGGGAAAAGGUGAUCAUCAGCCAUUUGGUAAGUCAUGAUUGAAGAAACAAUUAUGGGACCUAUUGGAAACAUAAAGAAAGCUGACAUUAGGAACUCAAAUACAGUAUUACGAUUUAUAAAUUAGAUUGGUUAGUAAGUGAUAACCAAGAGAUAUUGAUAUGGGAAGGAAGUUAACAAGUACGGGAAAGUUUCGCCCUAGAAGUAUAUAUAUAUAUAUACGAGAUCAAGACGGGUUUGUACUCAUAGUGGAAUGUUCUGCAAACUUCUAAGUAGAUACUAUUAAGUGGCAAACUGGAAAAGAGUACUUUAAGAGCAACGGAAAUCUAGGAGGACCUUGAGGACAGAAGUACGAGAAAAUGCGGUUAUAAAUUAAUUAAAAAGAAGUUAUGUGAUUGGCGACUAUGAGAAGAAGUUUAAUAAAUUAAUAAGGUUGGCCAAGGGUAUACAGUGAUGGCAUACGACAGUGGACUUGGGAUAGAGAUACGAUUAUAAAGGAAACAAGACGAAUAUACGAGAAAUGAACAUACAUACGAGCAAGCUAUGCUAUCGUAAAGGGAAAUAAGAAAUGAACGAAGGAAGAAAGAAAAGGGUGUAUUUUACUAAAAUUGCAUGAUGAGAACAAGAAGGAUUAGUUAAGAGAAACCAUGGGACACUAUGAGCUAAAUUAAGAAAAGGACGAAUUGUGAGAAAAUGAGAGAAAGUAUCGACUUUUACUGGUAUGAUAUAAACCCAACUCGGAAUCGAGAACUAAGAGUAAGAGAAAUCUCAAGGGUACUGGGGAAAGGAUGUCUAUGAGCACUUAUAAGUUGAUGGAAAUGCGAUGAAACUAUGAUUGAUGAUAUAUUUCUCGAUACAUAGGCUCGGGUGAAGGGCAAGCUCCGAUGUAAGGAGCUCUUUAAGUGGUGGCAUGCCGGAUAAGGUAUGUAAGGUGUUCGUUUCCUUCUUUCUUUGGCACGAACCCAACUAGAACAUGAACAUGAGUAUUUCAUAACAACUUCACUCCAUUCCUAUGCUACGUAUUUCAGAUCUUAAUGCCUUACUUAUUUGAUUGAUUCUUACCAUAUUAUCAUGUUUAUCAUCAUUAAGCUAAUUCUUUGGAUUCGAUACGAGCUCCAUAAUUCAUUCGGAGGUUAUGACCGUAUGUCACUCUGAAAGGCCAAGAUCAGAUCAUUGACUUCUCAUCCAAAAUCAGCUCCAGGAUCAGGCUUUCCUUCCGCAUCGCGGAAGGAAAGCAGAAGGCCUCAGAAUUUUCCGUUUUUCGUCCGCAUCGCGGAAGGAAAGCAGACGGUCUCAGGACAUUGCGCUUUUUGUCAGCAUCGCGAAAGGAAAGCGGGGUCCUGCACAGUUUUUCUUUCUCGGUCCAGACCAAUAAUGGUAUAUACGUAUGAAUAAAUGUAAUGCACUAUUUUACGGCUGAAGGAGCAUGGUACAGUCGGGCAUAAUAUAAGGAGCCUAACGAAUUCUAAUGUCACGAUUGAUUAAUUAACCUAGGGGACUAUUAGGCAUGAAGGAAGGAAGUGGUUUGAGUUUUGUCCAAUAUGUGUGGACAUCUGACUUGAUACAAGAAUUCAAUUAGCAAAAGAGAAAUAAGUCAAACCAUGCGAUGAUAGUAACUCUGGCAUUAUAUGGACUAGAUAAGUUGAAGGAUCGCUAGGGUCGGCCAAUUGACUACCAAAGACGGUCAAUACUCGAAUGUUACUGGUAUAUGAGGACAUUCUUAGACGAAUUAGAAUAUUCCCUAGUACAUAAGAAAGAAAUGUACCGGCUUGAAGGAGUCAAAAUUCGAGAGGAACUAAUAAAGCAAGGAUGUGCUAAAGAAAAGUGAAAAUAGACUAAAUGCAAGUAUAUUAUGAGACAGACAGGGGAAAGGAGGCAUGACAAGAUAAUGAAGGUUUAGCAAAUCAAAGGAAAUAAGUUUUGUCAAUGCAAUACGGCGUGUCCCGGACUAUGAUUCGAAUUGCUCGUACCAGAGAAAUAUUUUGUUACAAUUAAAUAUGCAGCGAACGUACCCCAAAAAGGUAACGGAGGAAGUGAGAAGGCCUACAAGUUAUCAGGGAUAAGUAUCAGGGACAGACGGGAUUACUAAAGAAAAAUCGCGGCGUUGGAAGAGAUGAGAGUUUAAAAGAGGAAUAUUUAUAGGAAUUUCAAUGAUCGUUAAAAGAAAGAAAGACAGUAUGCCUAUGGAUAGCAUGACAACAGAAGUACCUGAGACUAGAAAAUAUCUCCUGCGUCGUGAAAUCAUAAGUCACCGUUUAUAUUAAAUCGUGAGAGUGUAUGUCAUAGGACCAUAUAAAUAAUCGUCUUGAUAAAAUGGCUAGUAAAAUAGUGUGGAGGUGACAAUAAAUAUUUGAAGAGGAAUGGAAGCUAGUUAAGUCCCAAUUAGCCGCUGCUAUAGGAGAGCCAAGGACUUAAAGAGGGAAGCACACUCGUAUUGAAAGGAAAUUAUGAUUAAGUAAGAUUUUAUUUUAUUCUCCGGCUUAUGAGUCAUUCUGUAAUGAUGUUAAGAAUUGAGGAGAGGAGAUUGGAGGAAAGAUUCAACCACGGAUUUGAAGAUAUUUUGAAUAGUAGACUAGCUGGAGAUAUGAUCAUUAGUAUGUUGUAAGUAUAAUCUUGUGAUAGGGGAUAACAACGAUGAUAAGAAAAUGUUGUAUACAAGAGUAUAAGGAAUGGUGUUGAGGAUUGUUGUAUGGGUCGAAUGGAGUCCCAUUUGAAUAUAGAUCUCUUGGCUAUGUAUUUUUGACGCAUUGGAUGAGUAAUCUGAGGUAAAGUAGUUAACGAGAAUGAUAAACCAUUGGCAAGGAAAUGCUAUUGCAAGCCAUCUAGGCGCUACCAUAGGUAGAACUAUGAUGACAAUACAAGGAAUUAAGCAGUUCGACUAAGGAAUUAAAAAGGAGAUGAGAUAGUAUGUAUGUAAAAUUGAUUAGUACCAAGAGGAAUAAUCUAAAGUAGCACUAGAGAAGCAAGCAAGGAAAAGUUCCGCAGCUAAAAAAAGAAGUUGCCUACUAGUAGAGAAAUAGAGGGCCGCGGAAUAGGAGGGACUAAGUCAACGGAAGGUGAAGUCGUGGAAGUAGAUGAAGACAAGAUCACAGGAAAAGGAUUCAAGGAUAUAACUAAAGGAGAUGGACAUUUAAGGAAUUAAGAGAUCCGCUUGAUUAGUAAAUCGAAAUGACAGAUAAUUUCGUCAAACUACGGGAAAGACUUAUUAUGUGACAAUCGGGCAAAGGUUAAAGGUAGAAGGAGAAACCCAAAGGAAGUGAUCAAAAGAUAUUGCGUUUGAUUAGAUCAAUCGGGUGACAAUGAAAUCUCGUAGAACUAGCAACAUGAUGACUCUUAUUGGAAAAAGGAACAAAUGAAGGUUACAGACAAAAGAAAGAAUGAAAAGAUCCGAAUUCGCUGCAUGACUAAGAAUCUUGGUUAUUUUUCGACAAACUUCUGAAUUCACCCCUAAUUUAUUAGCCGAACUAAGGAUCAGAAACUUUAAGCGUAAACUGAAGGAAAUGAAUUAUUAAAAAGAAGAGGUUUGAGAUGUUUUCGAUAUAAGUACAAGAAUUGCCUUUAGUUAGCCAAGUGCCAGAAGUCCAAUUGAAGGAAAGAGAAAUUAAGCAAGACAUUUCGGUGUUAGACUAGUUAAAAGAUAAAGUACCGAAAAGAUUAAUUCGACUGCUAUAGAAAGCAGAAGAUUCUAAAUGUGAUCAGCCUUGAGGUUAUCUUUAAGGAGGUAAGAAUAAGAAUAAGUCAACUCUGAGGAGAUAAAGGCUUGGCACAUCUGUGAAACGUAAGAAAGAUACGUGGGGAUCGAAGUGGACAAGAAUUUCUGAAUAAAAACAAUAUGAGAUCAAAAUUGGAUAAAAGUAUGUGGUAAGCACGGGAUGAAAGGGCAUACGAGAAUGUAAACAACGAAGGCUAAAGAGACAAUGAAAGCGAUAAAGCAUGGAGAGUAAGUAGACAGACAAAUAAUAAGAAAAGGGAUGACCUUGAGUACAGGCAUAAAUUUUGGCUACAGAAGAGGAAGGAUAAACUGCAUAAUUCGGAUAAGUUCAGCUUUAAAUAAGUAAGUAAGACUGCAAGUAAGUAAAGUAAAUACCGACAAAGACGGGUAAAAACAUUGACAUCUACCUCGGAGCGAACUCUACCUCAAAAUUCGAGGACGAAUGUUUUUGAAGAGGGGGAGAAUGUUACACCCCGCACUUUCAGAGUGUGAGCAUGCCACGUACAUCACCAUAGUAAUGAAGUAUCAGAGACGUCCCAUGAUGUUUUGGAAGGUACAAGCCAUGGGAAGUAUGUAACAAUGAAGUAAAGAAUGAAUUAGGAUCUCGUAAGUCGUAAUCGGGAAAGACUAUUUUGAAACACAAGAACAUGGCCAUUAUCAAGUAUAAUAAAUGAUAAAUAUCGUGUAUGGAGAAUUUUGGACGAUUUCGAGAUCAAGGAAAUUGAAGAAAAUAAGUUUGACGAAAAUUUGAGAAAUGUUGGGCAGAUUUUUAAUCAACUUUGGAGGGGCAUAUCUCCUAGUAUAUUAGGUGUUUUAAGGUGUUUCAAAAGCCAAAAAUGAAAUUCGUCGAGUCUAGUUUCUAAUGCAACAAAUCUCUCGUCGAUAGGACAUCGGAGUAGAGAAUUAUAGACGUUACAAACUGAGCUGACAAAGCAGAAAACAGGGAUGCUACAAUACCGCUACAGUACUGCUACAGUGCAGCCGACCUUAGCUACUAUAAAAGGGGUUAAAACCCCAUUUUUCAUCAUCAAAAUUGUCCAAAACCUUCCAGAAAAUUCAGCAACAAAAAGGGUCUUAAAUCUCACAUAGAGGUGAGGGUCUUGAGCAAAAUUCAAGCUACGGAAUACUAAUCGAAGUCCGGACAACGUGUAGACGAGAUUAUGAUUUCAUUUUUGUGUUGGAGUAGCUUGGGAACAAGUAAAUAUUGAAGAUCUUGUUACUUUAGCAAAUAUAAGGUAUGAAUCAUUGAAUUUCUUUCUUUAUCAACAUUGAUUAAGGAAUAAUUGCAAGAAUAAAAGUUAUAGUUGUUGUGUUGGUGUUGUUGGCUUAUGGAUUGAGGGUUGAAGAGAAUUUUGGAUAAAAAUACAUAUAUUUAUCUUGUAUGGUGUUGGUAUUGUUGUUGUUGAUUGGUUGUUGAUAUUAUGAUUUCGGGCUAGGCAUAUAAACAGGGGAGAUGCUGCCCGAAUUUCGACAGAAUCAAAUAGGAUUUUAAUUAAGGGCUUAAGACGAGCGUAUGAUGAUGAUCCUAACAACAGUAUGAAUUGUUUUAUAUGUAGAUUACGUGGCUACGAAUGAUCUUAAGUGAAUUGCAAGAUAGGAAGUAAGUUGGAAGUCGAGAAAUUAUCUUCCAGGUAUGUUAAGGCUAGUCCCCUUCUUUCUAAAAGCAUGAUCCUUUCGUUAUAAACCUUUGUGUCGUACCCAUAAUAUCAUUGGUUCCGCAAAUGCUAGAAGUCCACGAAUUUCGUGAUCCUUAUGAUCUUAUUGAGCUUCUAAAGGCAUGAUUAUUUUUCUACCAAACCAUGCAUGAAUUCCAUAAAAAAAUUCAUUUCCAAGAAUGUUAGAGAUUUAUGACUCUUAAAGUUUUAUGAUGGAAAAGAUGAAUAAUUUUUUUUUUCUGAUAACCAUGAUGAUGAUUAUGAGGGAUUUAUUUAUCCAAGCUCCAAGGCAUACUGAUUUCAUGUUAUUAUGAGAUGAUUUUAUUCAUAGAGAUUUCCAUGUACAUGAACUUUAUAUUAUUAUGAGGUGAUUGAGCUUACUUUGUAAUUUCUUAAUUUCCUUCAUUGUUGGUAAUCUCACCUUAUGACCCUUGUUCCUUCAAGGUGGGAUAAACGAUGAUGAUUGAUCCAUAAUAUAAUCGGAGGCUACCGACCUUACGUCACUCCGAUAUAGUCAUGGAUUUUGAUUGGGCUCUUAUGCAUGCUUUAUAUAUAUCUGUGUAUGUAUUUUCUCACACCGCGCCGCGCUAUAGUCGGCCGGGCAUGACACAUAGAUGUGCAUACCACUGCAGUGGGCAUGUUAUGAUAUUGCCCCGGACGCGGGAGGCCGGACGCGGGAUAAGGAUGAUAACACUGAUCCUUAAUGGUCGGGCAUGAUACUAUAUAUAUAUGACACCGAGCAUUAAUGGUCGGGCAUGGUACUGUGUAUAUGUAUAGAAAUGUUUUUUUUAAGGCUAAGCAUGCAUGACGUCCGCCUUAUGAGGCAUUCAGAUAUACAGGUGUAUACAAAUGAGUAGAAGAUAUUGCUAGAAGAUGUUCUAGCUGGAUUGACGAGCUCCAUUUCCUUCCUGAGUGUUUCCGAGUCAGAUUAUCUAUGUUAUGGUAUAUUGAUUUAUGUUAGAGACUUUGCAGACAGAGUCACAUAUAUAGCAUGUCAGUCUUGCAAGCGGCUCUGCAAGCCGAUGCAUCAUUAUGCAUUAUGUUACAAAUUUCAUAUGAUUACAGAUUUUUACUUGAUUUGAGAAAGACGAAAAGAAUGUUUUUGAAAAGCUUUUAUUAUGCAUUUCAUUUCGUGAUUUAA